Oncorhynchus gorbuscha (pink salmon) is the source of this 1054-nucleotide long non-coding RNA. RefSeq lists it as uncharacterized. The record is from RefSeq and is a predicted model, not a curated record. Lineage: Eukaryota; Metazoa; Chordata; Actinopteri; Salmoniformes; Salmonidae. The transcript is spliced from 4 exons.
AUGAUUGGCUACCCCACAGUGGACUAUACAACACUGGCCCUUUAAGGCUCUCCUGGAGGAUGAUUGGCUACCCCAUAGUAGACUAUACAACACUGGCCCUUUAAGGCUCUCCUGGAGGAUGAUUGGCUACCCCACAGUGGACUAUACAACACUGGCCCUUUAAGGCUCUCCUGGAGGAUGAUUGGCUACCCCACAGUGGACUAUACAACACUGGCCCUUUAAGGCUCUCCUGGAGGAUGAUUGGCUACCCCAUAGUAGACUAUACAACACUGGCCCUUUUAAGGCUCUCCUGGAGGAUGCUUGGCUACCCCAUAGUGGACUAUACAACACUGGCCCUUUAAGGCUCUCCUGGAGGAUGAUUGGCUACCCCAUAGUGGACUAUACAACACUGCAAUUCCAACUAAAUGCUUUGAGGUGGUUACGGUAGGCUACUUCAAAGCAAGGAGACGAGGUACCAGUUGCUGCGGCCAGCCCAGAGUGCUUCAUGGAUCGGCUACGCCAUCGCCUCCUAGAGGACUACGAGAUGGCUGCCAAGAUGGCAGAGGAGUUCAGGAAAACACAACCGACGUUUCCAGACCAGGUGAACUGUGAGCUGCUGCUGUACCAGAACCAGGUGCUGAGGGAGGCUUGGACUCUAUAAGGAGGCUCUGGACCACCUCACCACCCACCACCUACGAGAAACAGAUCUGUGACAAACUGGCCGUCGAGGAGACACAAGAGAAACCAAGUCUGAAGCCUCUCAUCGUCUCUCCGUAUGUCACUCUCACCUGGAACACAGAGAUCUCUAACAGUGUAUUCCCACCUGUAGGAGUGUGUUUUUGAACCUGGAUCGUCUGGAUGAAGCUACAGCGGUCUACAGGAGAGAGACCCUGAGAACUGGUCCUACUACCACGGUCUGGAGAAGGCCCUGAAUAAUCUGCAUCGUUAAUCAAUAUAAUAAUAUAUAAUAAUAAUUAUAAAUCAAUAUCAACAUCAUAACAAUCUGCAUCGUAAAUCAAUAUCAACAUCAUGACAACAAUCUGCAUCGUUAAUCAAUAUCAACAUCAUGACAACA